This 407-nucleotide ribosomal RNA is filed under the name uncultured bacterium. RNAcentral describes it as "bacterial SSU rRNA". It matches the Rfam family "Bacterial small subunit ribosomal RNA", at positions 355 to 776 of the family's 1533-position model. The record is from RNAcentral.
CAGGGAAUCUUGCGCAAUGGGCGAAAGCCUGACGCAGCAACACCGCGUGGGGGAUGAAGGCUCAUGGGUCGUAAACCCCUUUUCUCAGGGAAGAAAAAAAUGACGGUACUUGAGGAAUAAGCCUCGGCCAACUACGUGCCAGCAGCCGCGGUAAUACGUAGGAGGCAAGCGUUAUCCGGAUUCACUGGGCGUAAAGAGCGCGUAGGCGGUCCUUUAAGUUAGGUGUGAAAACUCUCAGCUUAACUGAGAGACGCCAUCUAAUACUGGGGGGCUUGAGGGCAGCAGAGGAAGAUGGAAUUCCCGGUGUAGUGGUGAAAUGCGUAGAUAUCGGGAGGAACACCAGUGGCGAAGGCGGUCUUCUGGGCCGUACCUGACGCUGAGGCGCGAAAGCGUGGGGAGCAAACAGG